Molecule: long non-coding RNA, 1035 nt
Filed under: Canis lupus familiaris (dog)
Lineage: Eukaryota; Metazoa; Chordata; Mammalia; Carnivora; Canidae
Description: lncRNA (ENSCAFG00845009384.1)
Source: RNAcentral
CGUGACGCGGAAGUAUCAGAAACGCCGAGAGCGGCGCAGCGACAGGAGGGCCGGGGCGGGGGGGGGGGGGGCGGGGGCGGGGGGGGGGCGGGGGCGGGGCGGGGCCGGCACAGCCCCUCCCAGUCUCCACCGCUCCCGAGCACGAGCUCAGGGCCACCACCUGGGCUCACGGGCAGUCCCCACCCCCUCCGCCCCGCCCCAGGCACCCGGCCAGGGCCUUCGGCGCACUGGCAGUCAAGGCCGGCGGUCCGGACUCCGGGAAGCCCCCGGGUCGCUACCCGCGCGCGGCAGCCACCGGGCACAAGGAGGCUCGCCUCGAUCGCCGGCUACACAAGCCCUACGGACCGCUCGCCAAGGGUCUUCCUCACGGGUCCGCGCUGUCGCCGGCGGCGCGAGCGGCCGGGGCCCCCGGAGACCAGUCAGCGGCAGGACCGCGGCCCCGCCGCCUCAGCGCUUCAAACCUACAGGGCACCUAAACAGCCCGAGGCUGUAAAGGCCACCAGCGGGGCUGUGCGCCCCAGACACCCCGACCGCCCAAGGCUCCGCACCGGGUCGUCUCUCCGACACCUGGCUUCGAGACUUCAGACUGAACACGGCCCAGCCCAACCCACCCAAAGCCUCACCUCCGCAAAACCAAAAGGCCCUCUGGCCGAGAAACGUCGCCAAACCGCCGUCUUCUCUCCGCAGCCACUGCGACAAACACCCUACAAAAUGGCGGCAGCGCCGUCUCCUCACAACCCCCAGGCGGCCUCUAGCGCCACCUACGUCGCGCGAACGCGCCUGCGUGACAGAGGCUCGCGCGCUCCCGCCGCUCGCGUAAGGGGCGGGGCCCCUGUGGCGUCCAGGGCCGGGCCGGCCUUCCGCACUGCGGCUGCGCGGCUCAGGCGAGGCCCCGCCCCGACGCCUGGUGGGGGUGGGGGUGGGGUGCGGGGAACCUUCGGUUGUUUUCAUCGCGCCGGGGUGGGGGGGUGGGGACGCGGGCAGAGGGGCGGAGUAUGGAGGAAAUCCGGAGGAAAUACCUGUGCCCGGCACUAA